Pistacia vera is the source of this 938-nucleotide RNA transcript. It is a transcript of the gene named peptide methionine sulfoxide reductase-like, with no coding region annotated. The record is from RefSeq and is a predicted model, not a curated record. The transcript is spliced from 4 exons. Lineage: Eukaryota; Viridiplantae; Streptophyta; Magnoliopsida; Sapindales; Anacardiaceae.
GUACUCAUGAUUCAGUUCAGAUUCAUCACACUUACUCUUCGCUCUUCCCUCUUCUUAUAAAAGGGGUCACAUAUUCACUAUAACUAUUGCAGAACCAAUUACCAUCAACGCUAACGGGAUUUUGAAAAUGGCAGCCAACAACCCAGCUCUGGAACCGGAUCAAGACCAUCCCGAAAACCCGGCACAUGAAUUUGCCCAGUUCGGAGCGGGGUGCUUCUGGGGAGUGGAACUAGCGUUUCAGCGAGUGGUGGGUGUAGUGAAGACUGAAGUUGGGUAUUCUCAAGGCCACGUUCCGGAUCCAAAUUACAGACUUGUGUGCUCUAGAACAACCAACCAUGUGGAGGUGAUUCGGGUUCAGUUUGACCCGCAAGUUUGCCCGUAUACAAAUCUCCUCUCUGUUUUUUGGGGCCGUCAUGACCCUACAACCCUCAACCGCCAGGGUGGUGAUGUGGGUGCGCAAUAUAGAUCAGGAAUCUACUAUUACAAUGAGACCCAGGCUCGUUUAGCCCGAGAGUCCAUGGAAGUUAAGCAGUUGGAGCUCAAGGAUAGGAAGAUUGUCACUGAAAUUCUUCCUGCAAAGAGAUUUUACAGAGCAGAAGAAUAUCAUCAGCAGUAUCUGGAAAAGGGAGGAGGUAAAGGACUCAAACAAUCAGCUGAAAAGGGUUGCAAUGAUCCCAUCAGAUGUAAUGGUUGACAAAAGUGAUUCAGGAUCUUUACCUCAGAAUAGAACUGGAAAUCUGAACCCCCAGCAUCAAUAGCCACUGCAACUGGCUGGUUUGCAACAGCUUUAAGCAAUGCAUCCUCAUCAUUAGCAGGGUUGACAGAGCCUUUUUUUCUCCAAUCAACAGACGGUGGGACAAGAUCUACCUUCUCAUACAUGAAGCUCCCGUUACCUCUUGGCGCCCCUUGGAACAUUCUGUGAUGCUUAACGUUGGAGC